Ornithodoros turicata is the source of this 549-nucleotide long non-coding RNA. RefSeq lists it as uncharacterized. The record is from RefSeq and is a predicted model, not a curated record. The transcript has 2 exons. Lineage: Eukaryota; Metazoa; Arthropoda; Arachnida; Ixodida; Argasidae.
GUGGUUGUGAAAAUAGACUGUGUUUGUAAGUGUGAAAAUAUGAGUGUGUGUCUGUGUGUGUGCGCGGGCGCGCUUUUCUGAACCAGGGACCUCACUUGAGAAUAUUCAUACCUGAAUCUGGCAUGGUCAAGAUGUGCUGACAUGUCAUGCAACCAACACAAGUCGAUGUGUGGGUGAUGAGGUGUCGAGGAUGUAACUAAGCGGCCGCUACGGGAAGGAUCGCCGUGAAAUGUGGCUUGAGAACGAGAAGACGUGCCUUGAUUUUGAACAAGUGUGUCGGAAAGACGCGUGAAUUGUGUACCAUUAUUAUUGUGUAGCAUUCCACUCAUGAGGACUUUUCGAACGCCGUGUGCGGCUGUGUUAUAUACAACAGCAGGUUCUGUUCGUCAUAAAUCAGACCAUCUGUUUAUGGAAUUUUAUCGUGCAUGUGCUUCUCUUCGUUCCUAAGUCCAUUUCUAUGUACUCUGGGUCAUUCCUAAGUGUCGGUGCGAUCUGUACUAGUUGUCAGAGGACAAAAUUAAAGCCAAUCAAAUGGACUGUUCAUCUGCA